AACGUACGCUGGCGGCACGCCUAACACAUGCAAGUCGAACGAAGUAGCAAUACUUAGUGGCAGACGGGUGAGUAACAUGUAGGUAUCUGCCCUUUGGCCUGGAAUAACACGAGGAAACUUGUGCUAAUACCGGAUAAGUCUUUACGGAGAAAGCUUUAUGCACCAUUGGAUGAGCCUGCACUUGAUUAGUUUGUUGGUGGGGUAAUGGCCUACCAAGACUGUGAUCAAUAGCUGAUUUGAGAGGAUGAUCAGCCACAUUGGGACUGAGACACGGCCCAAACUCCUACGGGAGGCAGCAGUGGGGAAUCUUGCACAAUGGAGGAAACUCUGAUGCAGCGAUGCCGCGUGAGUGAAGAAGGCCCUUGGGUUGUAAAGCUCUUUCGUCGGGGAAGAAAAUGACUGUACCCGAAUAAGAAGGUCCGGCUAACUUCGUGCCAGCAGCCGCGGUAAUACGAAGGGACCUAGCGUAGUUCGGAAUUACUGGGCUUAAAGAGUUCGUGGGUGGUUGAAAAAGUUAGUGGUGAAAUCCCAGAGCUUAACUCUGGAACUGCCAUUAAAACUUUUCAGCUAGAGUAUGAUAGAGGAAAGCAGAAUUUCUAGUGUAGAGGUGAAAUUCGUAGAUAUUAGAAAGAAUACCAAUUGCGAAGGCAGCUUUCUGGAUCAUUACUGACACUGAGGAACGAAAGCAUGGGUAGCGAAGAGGAUUAGAUACCCUCGUAGUCCAUGCCGUAAACGAUGUGUGUUAGACGUUGGAAAUUUAUUUUCAGUGUCGCAGGGAAACCGAUAAACACACCGCCUGGGGAGUACGACCGCAAGGUUAAAACUCAAAUGAAUUGACGGGGACCCGCACAAGUAGUGGAGCAUGUGGUUUAAUUCGAAGAUACGCGCAGAACCUUACCAACACUUGACAUGUUCGUCGCGACUCUAAGAGAUUAGAGUUUUCGGUUCGGCCGGACGAAACACAGGUGCUGCAUGGCUGUCGUCAGCUCGUGUCGUGAGAUGUUGGGUUAAGUCCCGCAACGAGCGCAACCCUCACUUUUAGUUGCCAUCAUUAAGUUGGGCACUCUGAAAGAACUGCCAGUGAUAAGCUGGAGGAAGGUGGGGAUGACGUCAAGUCCUCAUGGCCCUUACGUGUUGGGCUACACACGUGCUACAAUGGUAUCUACAACAGGAAGCAAGACUGCGAAGUUAAGCAAAUCCCUAAAAGAUACCUCAGUUCGGAUUGCACUCUGCAACUCGAGUGCAUGAAGCUGGAAUUACUAGUAAUCGUGGAUCAGCGUGCCACGGUGAAUGCGUUCCCGGGUCU
Molecule: ribosomal RNA, 1306 nt
Filed under: uncultured bacterium
Lineage: Bacteria
Description: bacterial SSU rRNA
Rfam family: Bacterial small subunit ribosomal RNA
Source: RNAcentral